ACGGACCAAGGAGUCUAACAUGUGCGCGAGUCAUUGGGUCUUGAUUAGGCCCAAAGGCGUAAUGAAAGUGAAGGGCGGUUCGGCCGUCUGCCUUGGGAUCCCGUGGACCACGCGUUCGCGGGCGCACCAAGGGCCCGUCCCGGUCGCCUCGUCGACGGGGCGGAGCAAGAGCGUACACGUUGGGACCCGAAAGAUGGUGAACUAUGCCUGGGCAGGACGAAGCCAGAGGAAACUCUGGUGGAGGUCCGCAGCGAUUCUGACGUGCAAAUCGAUCGUCAGACCUGGGUAGGGGCGAAAGACUAAUCGAACCAUCUAGUAGCUGGUUCCCUCCGAAGUUUCCCUCAGGAUAGCUGGCGCUCGGAGGAUGCAGUCUCAUCCGGUAAAGCGAAUGAUUAGAGGCCUUGGGGUCGAAAAGACCUCAACCUAUUCUCAAACUUUAAAUGGGUGAGAAGUCCGGUUUGCUCGACUGAAGCCCGGACGGCAACUUGGAUGCGAGUGCCAAGUGGGCCACUUUUGGUAAGCAGAACUGGCGCUGUGGGAUGAACCAAACAAAAAGUUAAGGGGCCCGAUGCGAGACGCUCAUGAGAUCCCAUGAAAGGUGUUGGUUGCUAUAGACAGCAGGACGGUGGCCAUGGAAGUCGGAAUCCGCUAAGGAGUGUGUAACAACUCACCUGCCGAAGCAACUAGCCCUGAAAAUGGAUGGCGCUUCAGCGUCUACCCCAUACUUUUUCGUCGCGGCCGAAAAGCCUCGUGUUUUAAGCCGCGAUGAGUAGGAGGGGCGCGGAGGCGAGCGUCGAAGGUGCCGGGCGUAAGCCCGCCUGGAGCCGCCUCCGGCGCAGAUCUUGGUGGUAGUAGCAAAUACUCAAGUGAGAACCUUGAGGACUGAGGUGGAGAAGGGUUCCAUGUGAACAGCAGUUGAACAUGGGUCAGUCGGUCCUAAGGGAUAGGAGAAAUCCGUUCCGAGGCGGGACCUCUACUUACAGCAAGUCCCGCUGAUGACCGAAAGGGAAUCGGGUUAAUAUUCCCGAACCCGGACACGGAGAUCGUCCUCUUCGGAGGUACAUUGCGGUAACGCAAACGAGCUCGGAGACGUCGACGGGAGCACCGGGAAGAGUUAUCUUUUCUUUGUAAGGAUUCGACUCCCUGGAAUCGGCUCGCCCGGAGAUAGGGAUGGUGUUUCCGUAAAGCACCGCGCCUCUUGCGGUGUCCGGAUCGCUCCCGUCGGCCCUUGAAAAUCCGAGUGAGAGAUAGUGAUUUUCGUGCCGGACCGUACCCAUAUCCGCAGCAGG
Molecule: ribosomal RNA, 1289 nt
Filed under: Mangatangi parvum
Lineage: Eukaryota; Metazoa; Arthropoda; Arachnida; Opiliones; Neopilionidae
Description: partial large subunit ribosomal RNA
Rfam family: Eukaryotic large subunit ribosomal RNA
Source: RNAcentral